GAUGAACGCUGGCGGCGUGCCUAAUACAUGCAAGUCGAGCGAACAGACGAGGAGCUUGCUCCUUUGACGUUAGCGGCGGACGGGUGAGUAACACGUGGGUAACCUACCUAUAAGACUGGGAUAACUUCGGGAAACCGGAGCUAAUACCGGAUAAUAUUUCGAACCGCAUGGUUCGAUAGUGAAAGAUGGCUUUGCUAUCACUUAUAGAUGGAUCUGCGCCGUAUUAGCUAGUUGGUAAGGUAACGGCUUACCAAGGCAACGAUACGUAGCCGACCUGAGAGGGUGAUCGGCCACACUGGAACUGAGACACGGUCCAGACUCCUACGGGAGGCAGCAGUAGGGAAUCUUCCGCAAUGGGCGAAAGCCUGACGGAGCAACGCCGCGUGAGUGAUGAAGGUCUUCGGAUCGUAAAACUCUGUUAUUAGGGAAGAACAAACGUGUAAGUAGCUGUGCAGGUCUUGACGGUACCGAAUCAGAAAGCCACGGCUAACUACGUG
This 497-nucleotide ribosomal RNA is filed under the name uncultured bacterium. Its description in RNAcentral is "partial 16S ribosomal RNA". It matches the Rfam family "Bacterial small subunit ribosomal RNA", at positions 28 to 507 of the family's 1533-position model. The record is from RNAcentral.